GACGAACGCUGGCGGCGUGCCUAACACAUGCAAGUAGAACGCUGAAGCGAGUAUCUUGCUCUUCUCGGAUGAGUUGCGAACGGGUGAGUAACGCGUAGGUAACCUGCCUUGUAGCGGGGGAUAACUAUUGGAAACGAUAGCUACUACCGCAUAACACUGGAUGACACAUGUCGUUUAUUUGUAUGGGGCAAUUGCUCCACUACAACAGGUACCUGCGUUGUAUUAGCUAGUAGGUGAGGUAAUGGCUCACCUAGGUGACGAUAGAUAGACGACCUGAGAGGGUGGUCGGCCGCACUGGGAGUGAGACAGGGCCCAGGCGACUAGGGGAGGCAGCAGGAGGGAACCUUGGGCAAGGGGGGCGAACAUGACCGAGAAGGGCGGCGGGAGAGGAGAAGGUUGUCGGGUCGUAAAGCUCGGUUGUAGGUCAAGAACGGGUGUGAGAGUGGAAAGUUCACACUGUGACGGUAGCUUAGCAGGAAGGAACGGCUAACUACGUG
This 497-nucleotide ribosomal RNA is filed under the name uncultured bacterium. RNAcentral describes it as "partial 16S ribosomal RNA". It matches the Rfam family "Bacterial small subunit ribosomal RNA", at positions 28 to 507 of the family's 1533-position model. The record is from RNAcentral.